UACGAAGGGGGCUAGCGUUGCUCGGAAUUACUGGGCGUAAAGCGCACGUAGGCGGAUCGUUAAGUCGGAGGUGAAAUCCUGGAGCUCAACUCCAGAACUGCCUUCGAAACUGGCGAUCUUGAGUUCAGGAGAGGUGAGUGGAACUGCGAGUGUAGAGGUGAAAUUCGUAGAUAUUCGCAAGAACAUCAGUGGCGAAGGCGGCCACCUGGACUGAUACUGACGCUGAGGCGCGAGAGCGUGGGGAGCAAACAGG
RNAcentral lists this ribosomal RNA (253 nucleotides) under uncultured bacterium. Its description in RNAcentral is "partial 16S ribosomal RNA". It matches the Rfam family "Bacterial small subunit ribosomal RNA", at positions 524 to 776 of the family's 1533-position model. The record is from RNAcentral.